UGAAGGCCAUGGAUCAUAAGGAAAUCAGAGUUAGAGGGAUAUUUGAAAGUUAAUCCGUAAUUUAAUUCUCCAGAGGACUUCUCAAUCAUCAGGAGAAUUCAGGAAAAGAAAAAGAAAUAAAUCUGAAACAAUGCAGAGAAGUUGGAUUCCAGUGAGUUAACACAAAAGUUGGUAUCUUGGACUACAAAUGAAAAGAUACUCACAUCUUUUGGAAGCUGACAAUGCACAGUAAAGCUCUGAAUUGUUUGGAUUUUUGGAAUCAAACUGUCUUGGCCUCAUAUCCUGCCAUCUCUUCUUCCAGCUCUGUAG
This 309-nucleotide long non-coding RNA is filed under the name Heterocephalus glaber (naked mole-rat). RNAcentral's name for it is "lncRNA (ENSHGLG00000042323.1)". Lineage: Eukaryota; Metazoa; Chordata; Mammalia; Rodentia; Bathyergidae. The record is from RNAcentral.